This 774-nucleotide long non-coding RNA is filed under the name Homo sapiens (human). Its description in RNAcentral is "non-protein coding lnc-TSR2-4:1". The record is from RNAcentral. Lineage: Eukaryota; Metazoa; Chordata; Mammalia; Primates; Hominidae.
UGUCUCGAACUUCUGACCUCAGGUGAUCCACCUGCCUUGGCCUCCCAAAGUGCUGGGAUUACAGGCGUGACCCACCGCACCUGGCUGAUAUACCAUCUUUAAGAGCCCCCUUGAAUACCAUGAGCUCUUCCUACUACUGCCUAUUUCUCUGUUCCUCUCAUGCAAACCUUCUCCAGAUGUAAGUUACAUAUUACUCUCUCCACUUCAUCUCCCACUCUUCAACCAACUGCAGUCUAGCUUCAUACCACUCCAUAGAACCCACUCUUGUCAAAGUCACCAAAGACUUCAUGUCAAAUCCAACAGACAGGUUUGUUUUUUUUUUCUCAUCCUACUUGUCUUUUCAGUAGCAUCUGGCAAUCAACAAUCCCUCCUAGAAACACGUGUGUUUCUUCUCAGUCUCUUUUGCUGACCUCUAAAUAUUGAAGUUCUCUGAGCUUGUAGAACCAACUGCCUCCUUGUCAUCGCCACUGGAUUAUCUCACAAGCACCUCAAAUUGAACAUGUCUAAAACAGAAAUCUUGAUAUUCUUCCCCAAGUCUUUCCCUCCUCUCACCUUCUCCCAUCUGUAUAACCAGUAGUUAUUGAACUAGAAAGCUGAGAAUCAUCCCUUCUCUCACCUCCUUUACACUCAAUUUAUUAUGGAGUGCUAUUGGUUCUACCUCUAAAAUUUAUCCUGAAUUUGUCCACAUCUCUCCGUCUCCACUAUCUCUAAUCUACACCAAACCACCAUUGUCUCUUGUUUGAACUUUUUUUUUUUUUUUCAGAUGGAGUCUCA